Molecule: long non-coding RNA, 494 nt
Organism: Gossypium arboreum
Lineage: Eukaryota; Viridiplantae; Streptophyta; Magnoliopsida; Malvales; Malvaceae
Exons: 2
Source: RefSeq, a predicted model, not a curated record
GGUGUGUAACUAACACCCUCUUUCUUAGUCUGGAUCAGCAAAAGUCGAAAAGCCGAAAUGCCGAAAACCGGUAUUUGUAGAUUUGCGAGUGUGCGAAUGCUCGUGAGGUAAAUCGAUUAAUGUUUUUGGUAAGCUGCAAAAAUUGGACUGCAAAGUGCAUGAUUUCUGUGCCCUCGAUAUUUUUGGGCUUAAUGGGCCAAAAUUGGAAUGAUGGGCCAACGGGCCCAAUUCGGUAAUCCCCAACCAUAGUGGGCUUGGAGUUGUGAGGGAAUUCGGAGUGGCCACCUAUUCUGAGAGUUUGAUUUUCUUCUGGUGAACUGGACAUCCUAUUAUUUACGUUGAGGUUUGGGUUUUUAAAUGUAAUAAGGCCGCUUAAUUAUUUUUUAUGGUUUUAAUAUGUAUUACUAAGAUAGGUAUUACUUAUUUUAACUGUUGAAAUUGGAUAGCUUUAGGGCGCGUUUUCAAAAAAAAAACAACAAUUGAUUUCAAAAUAA